AACGCGAAGAACCUUACCAGCCCUUGACAUGUCCCGUAUGAGCACCAGAGAUGGAACUCUUCAGUUCGGCUGGCGGGAACACAGGUGCUGCAUGGCUGUCGUCAGCUCGUGUCGUGAGAUGUUGGGUUAAGUCCCGCAACGAGCGCAACCCUCGCCCUUAGUUGCCAUCAUUUAGUUGGGCACUCUAAGGGGACUGCCGGUGAUAAGCCGCGAGGAAGGUGGGGAUGACGUCAAGUCCUCAUGGCCCUUACGGGCUGGGCUACACACGUGCUACAAUGGCGGUGACAGUGGGAUGCAAUGGAGUAAUCCUGCGCAAAUCUCAAAAAGCCGUCUCAGUUCGGAUUGUGCUCUGCAACUCGAGCACAUGAAGUUGGAAUCGCUAGUAAUCGCAGAUCAGCACGCUGCGGUGAAUACGUUCCCGGGCCUUGUA
This 430-nucleotide ribosomal RNA is filed under the name uncultured Alphaproteobacteria bacterium. RNAcentral describes it as "bacterial SSU rRNA". It matches the Rfam family "Bacterial small subunit ribosomal RNA", at positions 958 to 1385 of the family's 1533-position model. The record is from RNAcentral. Lineage: Bacteria; Pseudomonadati; Pseudomonadota; Alphaproteobacteria.